RNAcentral lists this non-coding RNA (1411 nucleotides) under Pongo abelii (Sumatran orangutan). The record is from RNAcentral. Lineage: Eukaryota; Metazoa; Chordata; Mammalia; Primates; Hominidae.
GGAUGGAUCAACGCCGCCAAGUGGGGAAAGCACGAACACAGUCCCCCACUACAACAAAUUAUGCAGUCGAGUUUUCCACAUUUGGGGAUAUCGCAGGGGUCAGCACAUCCGGAGUGCAAUCGAUGAGCCUCACACUGGGAAAAACCACCUUCGUGAUCAUGAUAUCUUCCCUGCCAGAGAGAAACCAAUCAGCUUCAUUUUCAACUUCUUCUAUGACUCCAGAGGAUUCACUUUGCAUCUUGUGACAAAUGAAGAUAUUACCUGGAAAAAAAAAAAAGACAGGAUAGAUGAGUUGCUGCACAGGGGGAAAGCGAAGUUCCCAGGAGUAAGAUGUGCAAGAAGGAGGCAGUCUUGCAUCUCAGGGCUGAUUCCCUAAACUCUGUGCUUGAGGGAAGUUCUCCCCUUGCAGACACACUGCUGAGUGACAAGGAAGCGCCUAGACUCCACUCUGACCAGACUUGGUUCUGAGGCCUAUGAAAUGUUGAUGGGAAGAACAGAAGCAGGAAAAUCUAUCUAUUCAAAUUUGCAAGAGGUGGAAACUUUUAUUCACCUUCCUGGAUAGACUGUUCCUUUGUCAAAGUAAAGCUAAGGCCAUGGAAAAUGAGCUAUUUGAGAGUCUGUCGCUCCAAGGAAGAACAUGCUGGCCUAAUUGUCCCCCAAGUCAGGAGAGAGAAUUGUAAAAAGCACUUAAACAGGCCUAAGUAAAAGUCCAGCACAUUAUUCAUUUAAGACUGAAUUAGGACUGAGUCAUUCCAACUGAAAAAAGAGUGUUGUUGGAUUCUUAUAUAUUCGAUGGGUCUGCCCUAUUGAAAACCAUUGUGAAGUCUGGUUUCCCAAGCAAGAAGUGACACUUUCACUGUCAGUCUUUCUAGGAAUCUGGCAGAAUCCAGGACUAGGAUUACCCUUAUUUAUGAAGCGACCUUAGACUAACAGUGGCUCUCUGGGCCUGCAGACAAUUGGCCAGGGACUCUAAAAACCAGAAACAAAGUUGAGAGAACUCCAGGCUGGUGGAGAAAAACAGCUGGCGUUUAUUACCACAAUGAGCCCCAUAGAAGCAACAAAGCAGCAAGCGAUGUUCUUAAACAAGGGCCUGUGGGCCUUGUCAAGAUCUGGAGGAGUCAUCUACAACUCACUGCUGAGUGAGAGGGCUAGGCAGUGUCUUUAAGGUCCUGCCAGCUUUAACACUGUAUGCUUUUUCUUUUGUUCAAUCUCUCACCACAACUGGAAGUGUUGCCUCAACUACACAGGAAAAGUUUGCAGUAACUUAGAGAAAACAUUAUUUUAAUCACCAGUGUAUGUUCUCCGGCUCCCUGGACAAAUCCAUCAGCAGCGGCAACACUGACCAGGUCCAGACUGGGGCCACUGCAGUGGAUGUGAAUCCAUUGAAACCAGGGGUCUCCAGUGCUCCUGA